This 473-nucleotide ribosomal RNA is filed under the name uncultured bacterium. RNAcentral describes it as "SSU rRNA". It matches the Rfam family "Bacterial small subunit ribosomal RNA", at positions 26 to 520 of the family's 1533-position model. The record is from RNAcentral.
AGAACGAACGCUGGCGGCAUGCCUAACACAUGCAAGUCGAACGCUCACCGGGCUUCGGUUCGGUGGGAGUGGCGCACGGGUGAGUAGCGCGUGGGAACCUGCCCUGUUGUGGGGGAUAACCGAGGGAAACUUCGGCUAAUACCGCAUAAGCCGGUUGUCUUGAAAGAGAUGGCCGGGAAAGAUUUAUCGCGACAGGAGGGGCCCGCGUCGGAUUAGCUAGUUGGUGGGGUAACGGCCCACCAAGGCUGUGAUCCGUAGCUGGUCUGAGAGGAUGAUCAGCCACACUGGGACUGAGACACGGCCCAGACUCCUACGGGAGGCAGCAGUGGGGGAAUAUUGGACAAUGGGCGCAAGCCUGAUCCAGCAAUGCCGCGUGAGUGAUGAAGGCCUUAGGGUUGUAAAGCUCUUUCGCCCGCGACGAUGAUGACGGUAGCGGGAGAGAACGCCCGGCUAACUCGUGCCAGCAGCCGCGU